AGUCUCUCGAAAGGGGGGAAAAAAAAACCCCCUUCGGAUUUUGGACGUAUGCCCGUGAUAUACAAGGGCUCGUCUUCAAACCCAUCGUCCGGAGCGCGCCGCCUUUCUUUUUUAGACGUGAUAAGCUUGCGUCGUCGGAAGGCGGGGGAACCUCCCGGACGCGUCUCCGUCCCCCUUCGCGGAGGGACGGAAAAACGGCGCACGCCCCCACGAUCAUU
This 218-nucleotide unclassified non-coding RNA is filed under the name uncultured Geastraceae. Its description in RNAcentral is "sequence contains ITS2". The record is from RNAcentral. Lineage: Eukaryota; Fungi; Basidiomycota; Agaricomycetes; Geastrales.